GAAGGCAGCAGGCGCGCAAAUUACCCAAUCCCGAUACGGGGAGGUAGUGACAAUAAAUACUGAUACGGGGCUCUUUUGGGUCUCGUAAUUGGAAUGAGAACAAUUUAAAUCCCUUAACGAGGAACAAUUGGAGGGCAAGUCUGGUGCCAGCAGCCGCGGUAAUUCCAGCUCCAAUAGCGUAUAUUAAAGUUGUUGCAGUUAAAAAGCUCGUAGUUGAACCUUGGCUCUGGCUGGCCGGUCCGCCUCACCGCGAGUACUGGUCCGGCUGGAGCUUUCCUUCUGGGGAACCUCAUGGCCUUCACUGGCUGUGGGGGGAACCAGGACUUUUACUGUGAAAAAAUUAGAGUGUUCAAAGCAGGCCUUUGCUCGAAUACAUUAGCAUGGAAUAAUAGAAUAGGACGUGCGGUUCUAUUUUGUUGGUUUCUAGGACCGCCGUAAUGAUUAAUAGGGAUAGUCGGGGGCGUCAGUAUUCAGCUGUCAGAGGUGAAAUUCUUGGAUUUGCUGAAGACUAACUACUGCGAAAGCAUUCGCCAAGGAUGUUUUCAUUAAUCAGGGAACGAAAGUUAGGGGAUCGAAGACGAUCAGAUACCGUCGUAGUCUUAACCAUAAACUAUGCCGACUAGGGAUCGGACGGGAUUCUAUUAUGACCCGUUCGGCACCUUGCGAGAAAUCAAAGUUUUUGGGUUCUGGGGGGAGUAUGGUCGCAAGGCUGAAACUUAAAGAAAUUGACGGAAGGGCACCACAAGGCGUGGAG
RNAcentral lists this ribosomal RNA (754 nucleotides) under uncultured fungus. RNAcentral describes it as "SSU rRNA". It matches the Rfam family "Eukaryotic small subunit ribosomal RNA", at positions 421 to 1181 of the family's 1831-position model. Lineage: Eukaryota; Fungi. The record is from RNAcentral.